This is a non-coding RNA of Phasianus colchicus (ring-necked pheasant), 1017 nucleotides long. Lineage: Eukaryota; Metazoa; Chordata; Aves; Galliformes; Phasianidae. The record is from RefSeq and is a predicted model, not a curated record.
CUGCAGCUCCUAAAGGAGAGGAAAAAAAUUGAAUACCUGUCAGGGGAAGGAGUUAAGUUGACAAUUAAGACAGCUCAGUGCUCUGUCGCUGCGGCUCAGCUGGAGCAGACAGGGACAGGGAUGCUGAAGCACAGCUCUCUCCUCCCUGUGACUGCAUCAGGCAGCCUCACCAGAACCUCCCAUCUGUGUGUCUGCAGGGCCACGGACAGCCUCAGCCCUCCCUCAAGGAUGGUGCUGGUCCAGCAAGGAGAGAGGAUAUGGGUCCACUGCAGCCGGAAAAGGGAAAAUGGAUGUGAUCCUCUGGAAGCCAUGCUCUAAGUGGCCAUCUCCACUGUCAUGUAAGCUUGGCAUGUCUGUGCCCCCCAGUGUUUGGGCUGUUAGGCCUGGUUGCUGAUGGCAGCCAGUUGCAGCUUGCGUGCUGGUCCACAUGUGUGUCAGGCCCAGCUAAGGACCAGCAGGUUGCUUCCACAUACAGCAAGCCAGGGCCCUGACUUGGGGCACAGCAUGGAGUUAGUGCUACCUGUGUGCUUUUGAUGAGUGAUGGGGACAUGCCAGUGGUGUGGGUGCCCUCUCACAAGUACAACGGUUUGAUAAUUGGAGACAUGUUAGUUAAAGCUGUAUGGGAUAUUUAUUUGCCCAACGUCAUGAGUUUUACCAGACUUCCUAACACAUCCUUUUAUGUACAGGAAGGUCACAUUUCUGUGAAAUGUUUCUCUUUUUUUGGCUCUGUCUAGAGUUCUAUAGUAAAAGAAAAGUGUGUUUAAACUGUGUGCUAUUUCUUCCAUCAAAACAAAGGGUUGCAGGUCCUUGUAGCACUAACCUGUCUUUUUACAAAUCAAAGUGAGUUUUCACCACACCAUGAGAAAUUGUGUCUUCCUUCUAAGAGCUGCUAAUUAGAGACCACUAGACAUGGCAAAGCCAAGCUCAGCCUCCUGCCUCCAGGCUCAGCUGCCUCCACAGAGCCUUGCUUCCAAAAUUUUUAUCAUGACAAGGGAUGUCUCAAAAGCCCCAUUCAAC